CUAUGCGCCUUGCCCAGCCCGCUCAGAAACGUAAUAAGGAAUUGACGGGGGCCCGCACAAGCGGUGGAGCAUGUGGUUUAAUUCGAUGAUACGCGAGGAACCUUACCUGGGCUCAAAUGUAUGUUGACGUAUUCUGAAAGGGAUACUUCUUCGGACAAUAUACAAGGUGCUGCAUGGUUGUCGUCAGCUCGUGCCGUGAGGUGUCGGGUUAAGUCCCAUAACGAGCGCAACCCUCGCUGUGUGUUACAAGUGUCACACGGAACUGCCGGUCAUAAACCGGAGGAAGGUGGGGAUGACGUCAAGUCAGCAUGGCCUUUAUAUCCUGGGCUACACACACGCUACAAUGGGAAGGGACAAUAGGUUGCGAAGCCGCGAGGCGGAGCCAAUCCAGCAAAACUUCCCUCAGUUCAGAUUGCAGGCUGCAACUCGCCUGCAUGAAGUUGGAGUUGCUAGUAAACGCAGGUCAGCCAUACUGCGUUGAAUACGUUCCCGGGGCUU
RNAcentral lists this ribosomal RNA (498 nucleotides) under uncultured Anaerolineaceae bacterium. Its description in RNAcentral is "bacterial SSU rRNA". It matches the Rfam family "Bacterial small subunit ribosomal RNA", at positions 904 to 1382 of the family's 1533-position model. Lineage: Bacteria; Bacillati; Chloroflexota; Anaerolineae; Anaerolineales; Anaerolineaceae. The record is from RNAcentral.